Molecule: transfer RNA, 72 nt
Filed under: Camelus bactrianus (Bactrian camel)
Lineage: Eukaryota; Metazoa; Chordata; Mammalia; Artiodactyla; Camelidae
Also listed under: 2 other names
Rfam family: tRNA
About the family: Transfer RNA (tRNA) molecules are approximately 80 nucleotides in length. Their secondary structure includes four short double-helical elements and three loops (D, anti-codon, and T loops). Further hydrogen bonds mediate the characteristic L-shaped molecular structure. tRNAs have two regions of fundamental functional importance: the anti-codon, which is responsible for specific mRNA codon recognition, and the 3' end, to which the tRNAs corresponding amino acid is attached (by aminoacyl-tRNA synthetases). tRNAs cope with the degeneracy of the genetic code in two manners: having more than one tRNA (with a specific anti-codon) for a particular amino acid; and 'wobble' base-pairing, i.e. permitting non-standard base-pairing at the 3rd anti-codon position.
Source: Rfam by way of RNAcentral
GACGGCAUAGCUCAGUGGUAGAGUAUGUACUUAGCAUGCACGAGGUCCUGGGUUCAAGUUCCAGUACCUCUG